UCCGGACUUAGCGAAAACGCA
RNAcentral lists this microRNA (21 nucleotides) under Oreochromis niloticus (Nile tilapia). RNAcentral describes it as "oni-miR-10716". Lineage: Eukaryota; Metazoa; Chordata; Actinopteri; Cichliformes; Cichlidae. The record is from miRBase by way of RNAcentral.